AUGCAGAUCCCCUUCAUCCCCCUCGUCGCCACCACCCACCCCUCUAAACCUCGCUGCCACCCACCUCCGCCGCCGCCCUCACUCUCCCCUCGUCUCCCUCGUCCUCGACCAACCUCGCCACCGUGCAGGGGCUGGGUUGUCGCCGCGUGCUGUUCCUGCAGGUUGUCGCUGCGGGGGCCGGCUCCCAUGAUUCGAUCCAAUCCUCUCCCCCGAUCCCACCUGCCGGCAGCCGGCGUGCGCUCUGCUUCGUCGUUCCCCACCCUAGCAGUCGAUCCUGGCCGCCCCUGCUUCACCGGCCUCGUCCACCUCUUCCGGCAAGAUCUGACGGCCCCGCCCACCUUCUGCCCGUGGAGGAUGACGAGGGCGAGGAUGCGGAAGUCGGCGAGGGGGGAGGCGGCGGCGGGAUGCGCCCGGUGGCCAUCCGGUGGCCCUGCGUCACCUGCGCCCUCAAGAACAAGCGCGAGGACAUGGUGA
This 474-nucleotide ribosomal RNA is filed under the name Triticum aestivum (bread wheat). Its description in RNAcentral is "partial small subunit ribosomal RNA". Lineage: Eukaryota; Viridiplantae; Streptophyta; Magnoliopsida; Poales; Poaceae. The record is from RNAcentral.